GAGGUCCUACGGGACGCAGCAGUGGGGAAUAUUGCACAAUGGGGGAAACCCUGAUGCAGCGACGCCGCGUGAGUGAAGAAGUAUUUCGGUAUGUAAAGCUCUAUCAGCAGGGAAGAAAUACUGACCUUACGGUCAGCAGACGGUACCUGACUAAGAAGCCCCGGCUAACUACGUGCCAGCAGCCGCGGUAAUACGUAGGGGGCAAGCGUUAUCCGGAUUUACUGGGUGUAAAGGGUGCGUAGGCGGGCUUGCAAGUCAGAAGUGAAAUCUAUGGGCUUAACCCAUAAACUGCUUUUGAAACUGUA
This 305-nucleotide ribosomal RNA is filed under the name uncultured bacterium. RNAcentral's name for it is "bacterial SSU rRNA". It matches the Rfam family "Bacterial small subunit ribosomal RNA", at positions 333 to 637 of the family's 1533-position model. The record is from RNAcentral.